Long non-coding RNA from Talpa occidentalis (Iberian mole), 1772 nucleotides. RefSeq lists it as uncharacterized. The transcript has 3 exons. Lineage: Eukaryota; Metazoa; Chordata; Mammalia; Eulipotyphla; Talpidae. The record is from RefSeq and is a predicted model, not a curated record.
GGCCCGGGGUGGUCGUUCACCUGACUCAGGCGCCAACGCUAGGCUGCUCUGUGCGUCCAGCCAGUUGAGGCAGAGGAGGCCCAAAGCGGGAGAGGGCUGGUCCGCCCGGUACAGGUGGCCGUUGUCCCAGAAGCAGCCUGUGAGGAAAAGGAGGCCCUCAGACUCUUGGGGGGCAGGUGGCGAACCAAGGCGCUGUGCUUGGCGAGCAGAGGAGUCCGGGCCCACCUGUCCAUUCUCCUGCCCCACGGGGGUACAGGGAACCCUACUGGGCCUAAAGGUCCUCACGUGGAAACCGCCCUCCCACACCCCCAGCCUUGAAGGGUUGUUGUGAAACCCGAAACAGAGCAGAAGAGAAAGUGCCUGUGAAGCCCGUAGCCAGUGCCAGGAAGCACUGCUCCAGUGCAGCGGGUGGUGACUGAAACUUGUGGCCACUUUGGCCUGACCCGGACUCCCUCCCUUUUGAAGAUGAUGGGCGUUUUGGGGCCGGUGGGCAGCCAGACCUGGAAUUCCUCCCUGUGUUGUCAUGGCUAUGUGUUACUAACUCUGGUGCUCCCUUCUCCGCGGAUACCGCCACACUCCCACUGGCAACACCCCCUCCCAAGAGAAUUCUACAAAAACCUUGAUUAGGUCAGGCAGAAGAGGGAACCUGCCUCAUCGCUGCCAGGAUGUGUCUCCAAACUCCCAGUCCCCUCAGCAGGAGAGCCACAGGGAGAGACUGGGGGAAGAGGGCCUGUGCUCUGAAUACACCGAGCAAAGCCCCUGAAAAGAACAGGACUUAGGGAAUAGGGGAGAUGAAUCCCCCCUCCAAGUUCCAUCCACUCAAAAGCCUCAGGCAAAGAAAAGGAAAGAGAAAGUGGCUAUUUGCCUUUGUUCUUAAUGGCAAAGAUGGAGCUGCAAGCCUAGCAAAGAAAGGAGGAGAAAAAAAAAAAAAGCUUUCAUGCUGAAAUUUUUGUUUUCUGCCUUUUUCCUCUCCAACCUAGUCAUGCUCGAGAAAUGGGGAGUUUUACUCUUUUCUGCUUCAGUAAGUUGCUGCAGAAAGGAAACAUUGUAAUCUCACCUCCAGAUCCAUAGGCUUCUGCGAGGAGCAUGUUGCUGACAAGGAAUGUUUGCACCCAGGCCAACAGCAUCCUCACCUCCUUCAUCUUGCAGGUGGCUGACCAACCAGUGUCCAACUGGGGUCCCCUUGGCGCCAGCUCUGCCUCCUAGUCCCAGCCUUACAGUCAGACCAGCCCUUGUUAUGCUCUUCUGGUAAACAGCCUCUCUUUAGAACUGGGAGCUUCCCAGCUAGCUUGCGGCAGCGAUGUUUUUCGGCUGAAAGGCGCCCCCUGGGUCCUAAGUCUCCUAUGCCAAGCAAAGUCGCUAACCCUGAGCCAAGAGAGGAACUCAGCCCUGUGAAGAGAGGCAAAGAAGUUCAGGUUGCGUGUAGCUGCGGAUCAGUUUGAGACCUGCAUUGGCUGCAUCCCCAGGGCUUGUCAUCUCUUCUGUUUCUGAAAACAGCUGUGCUGAAGUGAGAGGACAAAUCCUGUGACGGGAGAAAGAGUAUCCCAUGCAAAAGGAUUAGCAAGCAAAGUCCCUGAGGUAUAGGCAACAGGGUCAUCUGAUGGAUUGAAUGUUGAAUGUGAGCGGAGGAGAGAGUCAAGGCUGCCCCCAAAGCCUUGGCUUGUGUCACUGGGAAAGUGGAGUUGUCCUUCCCUGAGAUGGGAAAGAUCAGAAAAAGAGUAGGUCUAAGGGAAAUUCUAGCUCUGUUUCUACCUACUAAGUGGAAUAUCUGU